This 440-nucleotide ribosomal RNA is filed under the name uncultured bacterium. Its description in RNAcentral is "partial 16S ribosomal RNA". It matches the Rfam family "Bacterial small subunit ribosomal RNA", at positions 338 to 795 of the family's 1533-position model. The record is from RNAcentral.
CCUACGAGUGGCAGCAGUGGGGAAUAUUGCACAAUGGGGGGAACCCUGAUGCAGCGACGCCGCGUGAGUUAAGAAGUAUUUCGGUAUGUAAAGCUCUAUCAGCAGGGAAGAAAAUGACGGUACCUGACUAAGAAGCCCCGGCUCACUACGUGCCAGCAGCCGCGGUAAUACGUAGGGGGCAAGCGUUAUCCGGAUUUACUGGGUGUAAAGGGAGCGCAGACGGCUGUGCAAGUCUGGAGUGAAAGGCGGGGGCGCAACCCCCGGCGUGCUCUGGAAACUGUGAAGCUGGAGUGCAGGAGAGGUAAGCGGAAUGCCUGGUGUAGCGGUGAAAUGCGUAGAUAUCAGGAGGAACACCGGCGGCGAAGGCGGCUUACUGGACUGUAACUGACGUUGAGGCUCGAAGGCGUGGGGAGCAAACAGGAUUAGAUACCCCAGUAGUC